Cyprinodon tularosa is the source of this 395-nucleotide long non-coding RNA. RefSeq lists it as uncharacterized. Lineage: Eukaryota; Metazoa; Chordata; Actinopteri; Cyprinodontiformes; Cyprinodontidae. The transcript has 3 exons. The record is from RefSeq and is a predicted model, not a curated record.
AAUGAGGAAAUUAUUCUGGGAAUAAACAAUCAACACCACCACUGGACUUUAGUGGUGAUCUAUCCGCAAAAAAAAAAAGUCUUUGUUCUUGGAUCCACUGGGGGAAUCAAAACAAGAAAUCAAGAAAUGCUUGCAAAUCACAAGGGCAUUUAUGAGGAAGAAGGGGUGCAAUGUCUCACGUUGGACAUGUGACACUGUCAAGCAUCCAAAACAACAGGAUAGCACAUCAUGUGGUGCAUUUGCACCGAAGGUGCAUACAUAUUGUCACACAGUGUAUGACUUCAGGAUUUUGAUAUAUAUUUUUACACAUGCACAGGGAAUACUUUCUUUGUAACUUCAAUUUAAAUCCAUUAAAUGAAGCUGUACCUCUCAGUUUGCAGAAAUGAUCCUAGCAA